AGCAGGAUUACGGGGGUGGCGAUGUGAGGAUGCGAUAGGGGUGAUGAUGAGAGGACGCAAGAGGAGCCCAAACUCACAGCCGCCGGUGAUGCGAGGAAGAUAGUUGCAUCUGGUAACCCUUGUCACCAACUCUUUCUACCACCUGUGCUGUCUACUUGUUCUCCUGUCCAUGCUCCAGGCCUCCUCUGCACUUGCAACCAUAUGCUUGCCAGCACCCGGCAUUUAAUUGGGCGCCUAGGGCCUAAACAACACAUAGGGGCUGCGAUUCGCGCUUAAGCAUGCUUAGGCAUACGAUUAGUAACGCCUUUUAGAAUACUGUUUUCUGGUUGUUUUUGAGUCAAAAUGACAUGAGGGAGAGAGGGAAGCACGCCAUUGGAAUAAUGUUAGAGAAAAUGCUUACUGACUAUUGCCAUUCCUCACUGCACCGAAGCUAAUUGUAUAAACAGUAAAGUAAAAUUUCCUACAAAGGUACAGCCAAUGGCUCAAAUUAUUGGUUUAUUAAUUCUGUUGAUUUAGUCAGAAAUUCAGAGAGGAAGAGGUAAACCAUUGGAAAAUUAUUGGUUUAAACAAUUAUAGGGCAACAAUAUACCUUAGUGUAAAUGUCAACUGCGCCAAGAUAAUCUUUGUUCUUGACCGCUUCACGUCCUUGAAACUUUAAAUUAGCAAGCAUCACUGUAUACAAAUCCUCAUCCUAAAACAUAGGUGAUAAAUGGACGAAACAAAAUUUCAUUAGCAACAUUUAACCAUGCUAAGUAGCACCAUACCUAAAUCAUACCCUAGCACAUGACUACUGAAUGGUCCUCUGCAUUAGAAUUGGAUCGAAAUCAAGUAGUCAACUCUAUGAGUAGGGGUAGGCCUGAUAAAUUGUAAGACAUAAUCUGCUGCCCCCUUUCUCUCUUCUUCUUCCUGUCCAGGACAGAGGGUAGUAGUUGGAUCAGCUCAUGGUUUCCAAGUCCUUGGUCCUGUAGAGUAUAAGGCAAUAGGCCAUACUAUGUACUAGUAGAGGUACACCAGCUGUAUGGCUGGUACUAGAGUAGUUGUUGGCUGAUUUCAGCCUUGUACCUUAGGAGUAUGUAGUAGGUAGAACUGUACCGUAGAAGGUACAUAUAUUGGUGUAUAUAAACCAGCCCAAUGCAAUGGAAGAAGGCAGUUCAUUGCCACUCAUUCAGUUUGCAGUUUCAGUUCAAGUCUGAAACUGUGUGUGUGCUGUGUGUGUGCUGAAGUAGCUCAGGGCUCUUCUUCUACCUUGGAGCAGGGGAGAGGGAGAGGGGAGGAGAGCAGGUGCUGCUCACCUCGGUGCAGGGUUGUUGUGCCAACAUAAAUUAAUUAAAAGACCUCACAACACAACCAUUAUCCCACCACUAUACAAUGUAGGCACAAAAACCACUGUAAUCCAAGUUUCAAUGCUAAAAACCUUCUUGUUGGGAGAAAAGAUAAGUGCAACAGUUAAAACAUGCAAACAAACUUGCAGACAUAUGCCAUCAAAUAGUUAUGUCAUAAGCACAAAUUUAGUUGUAAAAUUGUAGGACAAAGGUAUAUACUUCUUUCAAAUGAAUUUCAUUGCUGACAAAUGACAUAUUCGAAUGCCAAGUCACAAAUUUUUAUACCACUAUAAGCAAAUUCAUUGAGCAGGACAGCUGAAAUAUUACACUUACCAUUCAUGAUAGAUCCAUAUUCCUUAAGCUUCAUUUGAGAAGAGAAUCAAGUUUAUGAUUAAAGUAUGUGCAUCCUUUUUUUUAUAAAGAUUUUUAUAAAAAGGUAUUUGCAUCCAAGUUAGAAAAGUUAAUUACAGAAACCAAAGAAUAGAGAUAAACACAAAGAAUCACUGAAAUAACAACUCAAACAAUUGACAUAAAAUAUAAACAUAGCGUUUUUUAUGAUACCUUGAGUGCUGGCUUUGAUUUUGCAUAGCUAAUGAUUCCAUCAACACUCCAAUCAUUAACAGUUGGAAUACGAGAGGUGACUGGAAAUAGUAUCUCAACAUCCUCACGCCUAUUGUAACGUGCAGCAGUUUCUAUCGGAGUGAAUCCAAACUACCAAGAAAAUAGGAAGCAUUAACGUCAGUGCAGCAGUUUCUCAAGGAACAGCAAAAUAACAGGAUAGUAGCACAUGAAAGGUAUAUAGACAAGUGUUGAACAAAGGCAUUGGAUAUAUGACACAACUUACUUUAUAAAUUAGGUAAAAUACUACUGGCCCAUAAAUCACCGUUGUGAAUGGUAAAACACAACAAGCAGGCCUAGGAAGUGUGCUAUCAAUUGCCAAUAAAGCAUUAAGAACAUUUUGCUACUAAAUCAGUACAUGCUGAUAUGAUCUGAGUACAGAAAAUGAAAGAUAAAUACUCAAGGUAUAUAACAAAUAAAAUAGUUAAUUAACAUGUGCAGUUAGGAAUAAAAUUAUUCAGGAACCAUAGAAGAGAGUAAUUAUGUGCAAGGAUGAUCACUGUAUUGGUGUGGCCACUGUUGGAGUAUAAGGAUUAGGCCCAUGAGGCCCAUGUAUGUGACCAUAUUGCUACCCUUCUAGGGUCAGCCCAAUUAAUGAAAAUCACAGUUUGCAAACAUGGUAUCAAGCUAGGGUUUGUCUUCUCCCUCCCUCCCUUCCCAGGCCAGCCGCCAGGCAGUCGCCGCCGCCGGCCGACGCGCCGCCGCAGCCGCGGCCAUGGCUGCCCCUCCUCCUCCACCACCAGCCGGCGCCGAUCCUCAGCUGGACGCGGGCACCCGAGGCGCGGGCGCGCUGCCCCUGGGCGCGGCCCCCCGAGGCACAGGCGCGCCGCCCAUGGGCGCGGCCCCCCGAAGCUUGGGCGCGGGCGCGCCGCCCCUGGGCGCAGCCCCCCGAGGCGCGGGUGCGCGGCCCUUGGGUGCGGCCCCGCGAGGCGCGGGCGCGAACCCCCGUGGCGCGGGCGCGCGGCCCCCCGAGGCGCGGGCGCGCCGCCCCUGAGCGCGGCUGCGGGCGCGCCGCCCCUGGGCACGGAUGCGGCUCUCCUGGACGCGCACACUGCCGAGGCGCUGGCCAGGAUGCUGGACGCCGGCGCCGCCGGUCCUCCAGCCGGUGCCGUCGCUGCUGCUCGCCUUCUCAUGGCAGCGGCGGGCACGGUUCCUCCUACAGAUGACGUCCAGGCCGCCGAGAACGCCAUGCCAGCUGCUGCCUUUCCCCCACCACCUCCGCCAAACUCCGCCCUCGCCACUCCCCUCACCGCUGCCCGCGCUGCUGCUGCGGACGGCCAUGCACACAUGCGGGCGGCCGACCUCGCUUGGGAGCGCGAGCGCCAUGCAGCCGAUGCCAUGGCUCGCAAGAUCGCCGAGGCGGAGCAACUGCUCAUCCUCCCUGCCUCGCACGGUGUCGGGGCAACCUCCUCUGGCUCCGUCGCCGCCAUGCCUGCUGCAGUGGCUGCCGGACUGGGCAUGCCACGGGCUGACGCAGCCGCGGCAGUCUUCAACGCACCGCCUCUUGCUCCUCCUCCCUCCGAGCCAAGCGGGGGUUGGGGGGGCCGUGGCAGCCACCGUUGCCGCCGCGGUGGACGCGGUGGGAGUCUCUCAGCGCCUCUGUGGCCUCCACCUCUGAGUGCCUUGCUCGGGCCUGUCGGAUGGAACCCGGCGGCCUGGGCAUCUUUCCGCCACCCGUGGUCGACCAUGUGGGGCGACGGUAGGCCGGCCCCCUUCACCGCGACGUCAUCGGCGCCUCUGUUGUCGGACACAGCGGCUCUUCGUGCGCGGGUCAUGGCCCCCGCUGCUCCGCGCGUGCAUCCCCUAGUCGUCGUGCCUAGAGGAGCUGCUUCUCCUCCCCCACCGGCUUACUCAUUCAUCACCACCACCAAACCUCCGCCCGCGGCUCCUCCUGCCGCAGGGCUGCGACCAGUCAGUCCUAACUGGAUCGCUGACUCGGGCGCCACCUUCCAUACCACGCCCGAUGCGAGUCUCCUCUCUUCUAUCAGUCCUCCCCACCCUUCUUGUCUUUCUUCCAUCAUGGUCCCUAAUGGCACCUGCAUUCCUGUCUCCUCCGUAGGCACUGCCAAUUCCCAUGGCUCCUUUCAUAUCCUUGAUGUUCUUGUGGCUCCCGGUAUGGUUCACAACCUCCUCUCUAUUCGCCGCUUCACGACUGACAACUCUUGUUCGGUUGAGUUCGACCCCUCUGGCCUCACCGUGCGGGAGUUGGCUUCCCGGCGUCCUCUUCUCCGUUGUGACAGCACUGGGCCUCUCAACACCCUUCGUUUCCCGGUUUCCGCUGCACCUCCUUUGCCUUCUUAUUCACCCCCUUCGGCAUCUGCCUUCACCACCACCUCCUCCACUACGUGGCACCGUCGCCUUGGCCAUCCUGGCAGCACUGCUUUGACACAGCUCAGUCGCAGUUCCGUUGUGCCUUGCCCCCGCACUCCUGAUGAGCAUUUGUGUCAUGCAUGCCAGUUGGGCCGUCAUGUUAGACUUCCUUUCCCUACCUCCUCACAUGCGGCUCACAUCUUUGAUCUUAUCCAUUGCGACCUGUGGACAUCUCCUGUUCUUAGUAUGUCUGGCUACAAGUACUACUUGGUGGUGGUUGAUGACUUCUCCCAUUACUCCUGGACUUUUCCCUUGCGUGCCAAGUCCGAUACAUUCACCACUCUUCGCCACUUCUUUGCAUGGGUGUCCACCCAGUUCGGCCUCACCAUCAAGGCCGUGCAGUGUGACAACGGGCGUGAGUUUGAUAACACCACCGCUCGCUCCUUCUUCCUCUCCUGUGGUGUCCAGUUGCGCAUGUCUUGCCCCUACACCUCCCCUCAGAACGGCAAGGCUGAGCACAUGAUUCGCACCACAAACAACGUCAUGCGCACCCUUCUGUUACAGGCCUCGCUUCCCGCUCGCUUCUGGGCUGAGAGCCUCCACACCGCCACCUAUCUCCUUAACCACUUGCCCUCCACGGCUUCCCCUGCCCCCACUCCACACCACGCUCUUUUCGGUACCCCUCCCCGCUACGAUCACCUUCGUGUGUUUGGGUGCGCUUGCUACCCCAACACAGCUGCCACUUCUCCUCAUAAGCUUGCCCCCCGUUCUACUCUCUGUAUCUUCCUGGGUUACUCCCCUGAGCAUAAGGGGUACCGUUGCUUGGACCUCUUCUCGCCGUGUCCUCAUCUCUCGCCACGUCGUGUUUGACGAGUCGGCAUUCCCUUUCUCCACCACCCCCACCUCCACACCUCCUGCUGACCCUGCGGAGGCUUCUUUUUUUCCCACUACCCGGUGGAUCCACCACCGUUUCCACUAUACCCUGCAGGUCUUGCUCCGGCACGCUCUCCUGGUGGUCCUUCGAGCCAGGACCCUCCUCCUGUACCUAGCACAGCAAAGGCAGCCCCAGAGCUUCCUCCACCGCUACCAGUGGUUGCGCUGCCUCCCGUUGUGCCCGAAGUCGUCGUCCCGAUCGCGGGACCGCGCGCCCCGCCCUCACCUCCCCAGCGCUUCGGCCUCGUCUACCAGCGGCGGCGAGAGCCGGCUCCGCCUCUACAGCCGGUGUCGCUGGCUCCGUCGCCGCCCUUGCCACCAGCGCUGUCGUCGCCGGUACGGGCUCCGUCGUCGACCCCGCCACCUCCGACGGAGCACCCGUCCAUGCCGCCUCCGGCCCCAAGGCGCUCUCGCGCCGAGCCGCCGGUGUACCACCCGCCUCUACUUCACCGGGAUCCUCAUCACACUCACCCAAUGGUGACGAGACAGGCAUCCCAGCCGCGGGCCCUCAUCGCUGCUACCUGCGAGACGAGGAUCUCUCCGGUACCCUCUUCCGUCCGCGAGGCCUUAUCAGAUCCUCACAGGCGCCGCGCGAUGGAAGAGUACGCGGCCCUCCUCGCUAACCAGACGUGGGAUCUGGUGCCCCGUCCGUCGGCCUCCAACGUCGUCACCGGCAAGUGGAUCUGGACGCACAAGCGGCGUGCUGAUGGUUCCUUGGAGCGCUACAAGGCUCGCUGGGUCCUCCGAGGUUUCAGUCAGCGGCCCGGCAUUGACUAUGAUGAGACCUUCAGUCCAGUGGUGAAGCCAGCUACCGUCCGCACCGUACUAUCCGUGGCUCUCGAGCGCUCCUGGCCUGUGCAUCAGCUAGAUGUCAAGAAUGCCUUCCUCCAUGGCACUCUGACUGAGACAGUCUACUGCAGUCAGCCAGCCGGUUUCGUGGAUUCUUCUCGCCCUGACUUGGUCUGCCGGCUCAACAAGUCUCUCUACGGUCUCAAGCAGGCGCCUCGGGCGUGGUAUUCUCGGUUCUCUACCUUCCUGCAGACUCUUGGGUUCACGGAGGCCAAGUCUGACACCUCACUGUUCAUAUACCACCAUGGGGGUGAGACUGCUUACCUGCUCCUCUAUGUGGAUGACAUUGUUCUCACUGCCUGCAGCGAGUCACUGCUCCAGCGCAUCAUUACCACUCUCCAGAAGGAAUUUGCUAUGAAGGAUCUUGGUCUGCUCCAUCACUUCCUUGGUGUCACUGUUAAGCCCUGACCUUCAGGCUUGUUCCUCCACCAGCGGCAGUUCACUUGUGACAUUCUAGAGCAAGCAGGGAUGACUGACUACAAGUCCUGUUCUACUCCGGUCGAUACCCAGGGCAAGCUGUCAGAGGCAGAGGGUCCGAUGCUUGGGCCAGAGGACUCUACCGCCUACCGGAGUCUUGCUGGCGCACUCCAGUACCUCACCUUCACACGGCAUGACAUCACCUACGCCGUGCAACAGCUCUGCCUCUACAUGCAUGCUCCGCGGGAGCCCCACCUUGCUGCUAUGAAGCGGCUCCUCCGGUACCUCCGUGGCACUCUCAGUCUCAGCUAUGGCUGCUCCUCAGCCGGUCCUCCUCUGCCGAGCUGGUUGUCUACACCGAUGCUGAUUGGGCGGGCUGCCCGGACACCCGCAGGUCCACCUCUGGCUACGCUGUCUUCCUGGGCGGCAACCUUGUCUCGUGGUCGUCCAAGCGACAACCGGUGGUCUCACGCUCCAGUGCCGAGGCGGAGUACCGCGCCGUUGCCAAUGGUGUGGCUAAGGCUGCUUGGCUCCGCCAGCUCCUGGCUGAGCUUCACCGCCCCCUCGCCAGAAGCUCACUUGUCUACUGCGACAACGUCAGCGCCGUCUAUCUCUCCACCAACCCUGUGCAACACCAGCGGACCAAGCAUGUGGAGAUCGACCUGCACUUCGUCCGCGACCAUGUGGCCAUCGGCGACGUCCGGGUCCUCCACGUCCCGACCACCUCACAGUUUGCGGACAUCUUCACCAAGGGCCUCCCUUCCUCGACUUUCGCCGAGUUUCGCUCCAGCCUCAACGUCACCGGUGGCUAGUUGUGGCUGCGGGGGGGUAUUGUGUGUUAUGUGUUUUCCUUCUUGUCCAGUCUUGAACUCCGCUGCGCCGGUAGUCCAGACUGCGGGGGGGUGUUGGAGUAUAAGGAUUAGGCCCAUGAGGCCCAUGUAUGUGACCAUAUUGCUACCCUUCUAGGGUCAGCCCAAUUAAUGAAAAUCACAGUUUGCAACAGCCACUAUAGUAACAGUAUAAACAUUAAAGAAACAAACAAUGAAUAUUCAAAAGGUACUAUCCAUACAUAUGGCCAUAUGGGUAUGGGUGCAGUGCAGAAGAAAGAUGAGUACUCAAGGUAUGGAACAGUAAAUUUGUGCAUUAUCAUAAGCAAUUAAGAAGAAUAAGAAUAUGAAGGGAUAAUAGACAGGACUCAUUUGGCCAAGGAUACUCACAGCAUUGAUGUAACAAAUAUAGUAACAUAACAAAGAGAACUUUACUAGAAUUGCAUGGGAGUCUGCUUAGUACUGUACUAGAAUUACAGGUUACUGUUGGGUGGGGGGGAGGGCCUACACCAUCACAAACAUUGGGAUCUGCACCAGCUUGAACUAAGCACUUCAGGAUGUCAGUUAAGCCAUCAGUAGCAGCAAGUGCUAAGGGUGUUUCAGUACCAAUACCCUGAACAUCAGCACCAGCCUAACAAAAAAUAUAGUGUUUAAUGAAUCCUUUAGACAAUAUAUGUAAAGUGAAAUUCAUGAAUUCCAUACUCUCUGAUCCUACAUUUUCAACAUAAAUUCAGUAUAGUAACUCUCUUAGUUUGUGCUGUAAACCAUAAAGUCGAUGCAACCUUAAAAUGGCAUACCUCAAUAAGAAGCUUCACACAUUUCAAUGAACGAGCAGAAAUGGCAUAAAUAAGAGGUCUGUUGACACCCCAAGCUAUCUUGUUAUGCUGUUGAGAGAUCAAGAAGAUUAGAAAUCCCUAUAUGAAUAAUAAAUCAGCAUAGAGCAAGCAUAAACAAGUACAAACUUUAGUAAACAGAAUGUCAAAUAAAUAAAGUGUCUUUGUGGAAGCAAAAUAAAGAAAAAGAAGUCAAUAUCAAUAAGAAAAUGUUAGCACAUAUAAAAAAAUGAAAUUAUGUUUCUUUCAGUAACAAAAUCCGGGCAUGACUGAUGUGGAAAAGUAUAUAACAUUGCAAAAGCAAAUGAACUACACAAUGUCAUAUUUUUGUACAGCUAAACAUGGCUGUAGUGAAACAAUCAUAAGAAAUCAAUGAAAUGUGCAAAGAUAUAUACAGACAACUGCACAAUACGGCAUCACUCAUGAGAGCAUUGCUAAGCAUGUACAUGCUUCAGCAGUUCAGCUUGCAAGAGAAUACAAUGAGAAGUAGAAACCAAAAAAAUAUAUCUAUAGACAAGACCAUGUAAGAAAUAGUGUACUUAGUCUUCAAAUGAAACAUGAUCAAGCUCACACAGUGAAAGCAGGACUGGGAAAAAACCGGGACCAAAAACGGACACCGAAUAGACCGAGACUGAACUCGAAAAGACUGAAAGUUCGGUCCUCGGUCUCUACUUCGGUUCCCAUUCUCAGAACAUUCUCAAAACUCCAAUCGCUGCUGGGCACGAAGACGCCAACAACCACUACGACAACGCAGAAUUAGAGCAGCCACCUUCCCCAUCAGCCUUCUUCAUCCUCCCCAAUCUCUCUCCCCCUUCCUCCAUUUCACGCUUCCCCUUCCUUCUCUUGGCUAGAUCCUGAGACAAGCGUCUGAUGCUCGGUUUUGGACCAAAGACCAAACCGAUAAAUCGGGUGACUGAAUUGUCCGUCCCUAAUUUUUCUAAGACAAGUUCGGUUGCUAAUUUUCAAAGACUGUUUUUUUUUAUAAAACCGAAAUACCCAACCCAAAAUUUCAGUCUACACCGAACGCCCACCCCUGAGUGAAAGUACAUGUAACUAGAAAGCUCUUACUCACCAGAGAGGGACUCCACCUGAUCACUGAAAUACAUUUCACGUCUGUAGUGAAACUGGACAUUUCAUUAUAGCACUAGAAAGAAGCUACUUCUUUGUAUGCACAUCAGAUAAUGAGGUUGUGGUUGGUGAAAAGAACAGAUAGUUGGGCAGUUGGCUCUUCAAAAAGUCCUCAGGAAUAUGCAAAAGGGAUUAAACAUUAAUAACUGGUGCACCAGCAUGGACAAAUGAAAAGGAAAUAAUAACAGUCAGAAAUGCAGCUUAUUUUGUGAAAGUAAUUAGUUUUCCAAAGGAAAUAAUGUUGGUCUCCAAAGAUUAAAAGCUUUAAGAUUAUAUUGAACUGUGAAGUUUGAAGAACUCAAAUUCAGUGGGCGCACCAAGCAUGAAACAAAUGAAAAACUGGAUAGAGAAACAAUCCCAAUAAAAAAUUCUCAAAUUUACCAUCUUAAACAGAAAUCCCUAGCAGGGAGAAACAUGAAGCACUUACAUCUGCAUGGUGAUCCAACAAAACCUUCACGAUAUCAUCACGCCCAUUUUGAGCAGCAAGAUGCAGUGCUGCCCCAACAGUAGUUAAUGCAUCAACAUAUGCUCCUUUGCAGAGUAAGGCUUGUACUAUUUCACAGUUUCCUGGAGAUGACACGGAACAAAUCAAAAAUCAACUAUUGCUACUUCAGCAUAACUUUGUCUUGACAAACAUUUGUUAAUGUUAGGUAACCUAAUGAUAUUCACCAUGAGAAACAAAGAGUAAACAAAUAUAUGUACACAGUCCAAACUGGAUCUCUAUAAUCAUCUGAACUGAUGCAGUGUGCAGAGUUUGGACACAUGAAAUGGGAACGAAAAGGGCCCACUAAUUAUAUUUGCUUUAAAUAUGGCAUCAUGUGCAUCUUGGGGAGGAUAAAAUUUCAACAAAUGACCUGAGCCUACCCUUUCAUAGUGCCCAACAUAUGUUUCAGGUAGUUCAUUGCAUUACCUUCACUGCCACUAAUAAACAGAAAACAGAAACAUUUUUGGAAUAAUGUGUGCAAUAGAGUGCAUGGAGAUACGCUUACCUUUUCCAACAGCGUAAACAAGAGGAGUAAGCCCAGUGCUGAUGAGUGUUUCUGUAUCAGCGCCAUUAUUGAGGAGGUACUGCACCACAUCCACGCUCCCAGCAUCAAUAGCACAUGUCAAGGGGGUCAAACCUGUCAUGGAAACCCAAACCGUAAAAUAACAUCAACAGCGUGUUGCAAACUAGAGGAAACGUGUUUCCCAAACUAGCAACCGGUAAACACUGGGCCAGCAGAUGCCAUGCAACUAGAUCCACUCCACUAGUCCACUUCAGUAUGUGAAAGAAACCAACUUGGCACAGAAAGAAAGAGAGAGGACCCACCUGCCUCGUUGAUUGAAUUGACAUCCAGACCCAGGUCGUCGACCAGGUAUCGGCACACCGGCAGCUUCCCACGGGCAGCGGCGAGGUGCAGAGCGCCCAGUCCGUUGCUGCUCCGCACAGCCCUCACCUUUUCCGCGCCCCGUUCCUCGCCCCCGUCCAGCACUCUCGUCAUCUCUGGGGAUGGAAAAGCACCGCCCAGACCAAAUCAAAGCUGAAGUUAAUUAACACCGAAAUAGGAAAUGUCGGAGGAGGAGGUAGGAGAGGACGACCGCGACGUACUCUUGACGAGGCGGAGGUCGCCGUCGAAGGCAGCGCGGAGGAGGGCGUCCUCGGGAGAGCCGGGGAGAGGAGAGCUUGGCCUAGGGUUAGGGUUGUCCGGGCCCCGAGGCGAGCCUCUGCGCGGGAAGCAGCCGGCGAGGGCGGGAGGGAAACGAGGCGGCGUCGCCAUGGCGACGGUGGGCACCGGUCGCAGGGUCGACGGUGGUGAUCUAACGUUUGGUAUACGCGCCCGACGAGCCCAGCCGAGGGCGCUGCUGAGUGCUGACUGCCGAAGUGCCGAUUGAGUAGGCCGCGGGCCGAGGCCUCCGGAAGCGUACGCGGGAAGAGAAAGCGACGGGGACCGAGUGGAUAAAUGUCGAGCGUACCCGAGGAACUCGGGGGAGGAGCCCUGUCGAGCCUCGAGCGUCCCCGAACACGGGGGAGGAGCCCAAAAAAAAUUUUCGCCCAAUGUUAUGGAAAUUAAAAUAAACUAAUUUUUGGUUGAAAAAUCGCGAGAUAAAUUUUUUAAGUCUAGUUAGUCUAUGAUUAGUUUUAAGAGCAUCUCUAACAAUUUGGUAAAAAUCACUUAGCAAAUCUUAUGAUUUGACAAGUGACUAAAACAUAUGACAAGUGAAAAAAAUUAGUAUCUCUAAUAGUUUGGCAUCUGUGUUUGACAAAAUUAAGAAAAAUGGAUGUGUCGGAAGGCUGUCGGGAGAGAUUUUUAGAUUAGGAACGGAAAUUUUUUGGGUGUCACAUCGGAUGUGUCGGAAGGAUAUCGGGAGGGGUUUUUAGAAACUAAUAAAAAAACAAAUUACAUAGCUCGUCAGAAAACUGCAAGACAAAUUUAUUAAGCAUAAUUAAUCUGUCAUUAGUAUAUGUAGGUUACUGUAGCAUUUAAGGCUAAUCAUGGAGUAACUAGGCUUAAAAGAUUCGUCUCGCGAUUCUCAACUAAACUGUGUAAUUAGUUUAUUUUUUUAUCUACAUUUAAUGUUCCAUGCAUGUAUUCAAAGAUUCGAUGGGAUGGAUGAAAAAUUUUUAGUUGGGAAACUAAACAGGGCCUCGCUCCAAACAAGUCAACUAUUUUUUGCCGUCUCUUUUUCUUCUACGGCCUUGUUUACUUCUCAGAAAAUUUUGCAAAAUUUUUCAUAUUUUCCGUCACAUCGAAUCUUUAGACGUAUGCAUGGAAUAUUAAAUAUAGACGAAAAUAAAAAUUAAUUGCACAGUUUGGUUGAAAUUGACGAGACGAAUCUUUUGAGCCUAGUUAGUACAUGAUUGGAUAAUAUUUGUCAAAUACAAACGAAAAUGCUACAGUACCUGUUUUGCAAAAUUUUUAGGAACUAAACAAGGCCUACACGUCGUAUCUGGUGGUGUCGUAUCUUUUUCUCCUGCACGUCGUACCGCCAAGAACCGAUCAACUGGCCGGCGGUAACUCAGCCAAGAUGCGUCUAUGUGACUAGGGCCUUGUUUAGAUAUCUAAAAACUCAAAACUUUAUAAGAUUCUCUGUCAAAUUGAAUCUUGCGGCACAUGUAUGGAACAUUAAAUAUAAAUAAAAAAGAUAAUUAAUUGUACAGUUUACUUGUAAAUCACGAGACGAAUCUUUUAAGACUAGUUGCUCCAUGAUUGAAUAAUAUUUGUCAAAUAAAAACGAAAGUGUUACCAUAUCAAAAUCCAAAAAAUUUUGGAUCUAAACAAGGCCUAGAUCCCCAACGCUCGGCAACCCGUGAAGAUGCGUCUACCCGCCCAGAUCCCCAGUCCUCGGCAACACGCAAAGGUCGGAAGACUCCGGGCGAGCGCAGGAGUGAAUGCGUUUUUUUUAUACGUCAAUGAAAAUGCUAUUUUUUUAUUAUUUUUAUACGUCAUCUCGCUAGCUAUUUAUAAAGUGCUAUUGAAAGCCAAUAGAAUUCUUAGCUGUUUGAGAACCAUUGCAGAUGGCCUAAGAGCAAGUACAAUAAUGGGAUUAUAGCCAAGCUAACGCUGAUAUGGAGGAGAGAAGAGAGGAGAGAGAUGAUAGUUUGGCUCUCAUGCAAGCACUAAACUGGGCACGGAUGCAUAGGUAGUGGUGGGCCCAAAUAAUAAGUGUUGUGAGAAGAAAUAGACAAGAGAAGAUGUUUUAGAGACAAGUAUGAGACAACUUAUUGUAUAACUUGACUCUAAUCACUUGGCUUAUAGCCAAGCACUUGACUCUAUUAUUGACCUUGCUCUAAGGGCAAUCCCAAUGAUAAAAAUUUAUGCACAAUAUCCAAAAAUAUCACGCCAGUAAAAAUCAUUUAUAAAAACUAACUCACACAAUUGUAAAGUCUUCGUGUAAUAAAUAUAAUUUUUUUCUCUCACCCAUGCUCCUCCUCUCUCAUCUCAUUCUCUACUACUCUCCAGCGAGCCAGCACCCUGAGCAUGCAAGCGUAGCGCGCCAGCAGAGCGAGCAGGCACAUGCACAGUCCCAGCAUGACUAGCAAAGCGAGCAAGCACAUGCGGCGGGCGGCACCGCCACAGAAGUGCUUAAAGCAGCAGUGGAACAUAAUUUUUACAAGCAGUUUCAAUUAAAGAACGCAUGUGGAAAGAAAUUGGUUUAUCCGACUACAAAACCGCCUAUAAAAAUCAAUUUUUACAGGUGUUUUUUCUAACAAAACCGUCUGUAGAAAUCAUAUAUUUCUAUAGACGGUUUCUUAAGAAAUCCAUCUCUAGAAAUAAUUUAAACUUAAAUUUUUUGAGCUUUCCAAAUGACCUCGUUUGAAAAAACCAUUAAAAUGAAAGUUGUAGAUCUUGAAAAUUUAUGAAACUUUGUAGUUAAUAUUUUUUUUCAUUUGAAAUCAUCUUGUCAUCGAAAACUACGUUUGAAUUUUUUAAAUUUGAAAUUCAAAUUUUGUAAAUGACCUCGGAUGAAGGAACUACCAAUAUAAAAGUUGUAGAUCUUAAAAAGUUGUAAAAGUUUGUAGUUGAUGACUUUUCCAUUUAAAUCAGUUUAGGGCCUCAAAUAAUUAAUUUAUGCUUAAUUUAUGAUAGUAUGUAGGGAAGUAAACUCUAAUAUAGACACAAUAGGUGGAGUGGUAGAGAAAGGUACGCGCGAGAGUGAGAUCUCAGGUUCGAAUCCCACCGACCUAUGUAGCACGCGAUUUUACGCGAAAAAAUGCGCGAUAAAGACGGGCGGGUGAAUAGCCAGUGGGCUUUUCCUGAUAUUAUUUUUUUUCGAUUUCGUAUUUUCUUCUACAAUAUAUACAACUAAAAAGACUAAAACUGGAACAUUUUUUUUGGUGCGGUUUUGGUUUUGUUAGCCUGCCCGUCACCGGUCGUGCGUCCGCGCCUGCGCAUCUGCGUACUUGGAAACAAACAGAGACCGCCAUCCCCUCCUCGAUCCCCUCCACCUUCCUGCGAACGCACGCGCCUCGCCUCCUCACCUCGCCCGCAAGCCUCGCCCUCCAGGCUCCAGCGCCGUCCGCCGCACUCUCGCCUCGCCCGCCGAGCGCCGGCUCGACUCGCCUGCCGAGCCCCUCGCCCGCCGAGCCCCGUCCGCCGCCGAGCGCCUCGACCGCCGAGCGCCGUCCGCCGCUCUCGCCUCGCCCGCCGAGCCCCGUCCGCCGCUCUCGCCUGCGAGCCUCGCUCGCCAGCGCCGUCCGCCGCUCUCGCCUCCGAGCGCCGCCUCGCCUCGCCCGCCGAGCGCCGUCCGCCGCUCUCGCCUCGCCCGUCAAGCGCCGUCCCUCCACGCGCCUCGGUGGUCGCCGUCCGCCUAGCGCCGUCCGCCGCGAGACCGGCCUGCCAACCGAAACCCUGUACCGCCGACCAUCAGAGGCACUCAUCUCAUGACACUCGAGCACCUGCAGCCCCAUCCCCACGCCACCGAGCGCUAGGCCACCGCCCGACGGCGCCCCUGUCCCUCGGACUUUCAGAUCGCCGAUGCUCAAGCGACCAAACUCGACGAGUUGAGAGUUUAAAGAUAAGAGCGGCGGGACUUGCAGCGUUAAACAGACGGAGUGGGCUUCUGGGCCUUUUCCACAGCGCAAGCAGAAGCAAUCACGGACUGCAGAAGCAAGCAGAAGCCCUCUCUUCCUCUCUUGGACUCUCGCUCCUGCUUUCCAACACCCUACACCUAGCGGCCGCUCAGCCCCGGAGCUCCCAUCCUUCUGCCCGUGUGUCGGAGUGUGGUCCUUCUAGAAAAGGUGCGUCAUCUUUCAUCUGCUCGCAGUCUCUACUUGGUUGGUGAUGGUGGUCUCUAGGUGCUUGUUGAAUUAACUGUGAGUAAAAAGUUGUCCAGAUUGGAGCGUGAUUUGGAGUAUUGUUCAGAUUGUCAUUCUCAGGAAUACUGAAUUUUGGGAUUGCAGACUACUUGUAUAGCGAUAUACUCUGUAAGAUAUUAUAGUUUAUUUUAUACAAAGGUUGAUGUGAAACAAUUGUAAAUUAGAGUGUGUAUUAGUAUAUGCACAAGAAAGAGAGGCAAGAAAAAAGAAUUAUAGUAUAUGAAUUAAUUUGUUUGUUUCAGUGGACUUUAAUAGUUUUCAUAGUCUCAUGUACAUCUGUUGUUAGUCGUUGUUGGCAGUGCUCUCCGAACAUCUCAAUGCCCACAAUCUGAAAUUGACGUUCCAUGUAGUAGUCAGGUUGUUUCUCUAGCUUUUUUUUUGUUGAGGCUUCCAUUUUUUUUCAAUCAAAAUCCAGUCAGGAGCAAGUAGCUAUGCUAAUGUAUAUUUUUUGUGGUAGCCAAAAACAUGCAUGACUGAGACAAAUACCUUCAAUAAGUCUUCUGCCGCUGAAAUAAGUUUUAUUUGCUGAAAUUGAUUUUAAUCCAAAGUUGUGAUCACUGGCAAAUUAGUAGUUGUUAAUAUAGCUCAUCUACCUCCUCUAUUUUUUGUCAACUUUUUCAGGUACUAAAGUUAUUUGUUUCAAAAGGAGUUUUCUGCCCCUAACCCUCCUGAACCUGAGAAAUAGAGGGAGUUGUGUGAUCCAUUGGUCUUUUGAUCAUUCUACUGUAAGUAAUAACCGCACAUAUUUAUACUUUUACCUGCUUUCUUCAGUCUAAUCAAAAUCAGAAAUGACGUGUUUCAAAUGCAUAGAGGUACAGUAUUAGACCUAUGGAAUGUUGAAGUCUUUUCCUCGCUUGUCUUGUUUAUAUGCAAACUGGCAAGUCCUUGAUAAUAUUCAGUUAAUGAAUUCUUCAAUUCUUUAUAUGUGCAGACCACUCUUCAAAAUUAUAGAUCUCUCAAGCUCGUGCAGGUGCAUAUUGUUCGACACUAUGAUAAAAGUGUCUUUCAAGUUCUUGAUAUAUGGUCAAUCCUAGGAAAAGGUGAACGAGAUCAGUGAUAGACUUAGCUCUUUUAAUCCUGAUUCCUUUUCACUGAUUAUUCCUACUAACUGAAUGUGUUUGUGUGACCUUCAAAUGAAUGUAUAAGUAUGCCUCAUCAUUUGGUAAUCACAGCUUCAUAUAUGUAGGAUACAUCUGUUUUAAGUUUCAUUUGUCAGGGUGCUGCAUGGUUGUGCACAAUCUUAUUUAGGCCAUGACAGACUCAAAAAUUGAGUUACCAUAUUUUUGUUUAGUGCAUUCACCAGCUAGACGAAAACCACUACUUUGCUCAUAUGCUGGGACCUGUAUGUGGCCGGGUGUUGAAUAUUUGAAUUAGCUAAUCUCUCCCUGUUGUUUAGUUCCAGUGAUCUGCACUUUUCCCAUUCCUGUUUACGGAGACUUGAGACAGCUCUGCAAAUUAACCUUCCCAAACAACUUUAGUAUUCUCUACUAAUACUAAGUUUACGGUGAUUAAACUUUAUAGUAAUAUUGUAGAGAUUUUUAGAAUUCUCAAUCGCUUUGAAUUUCAUAUUGCAUUGGCCAUCGACUCAGUUCAUUUCUUUUUUUUUCACUGUAUCUCUUGUAGAUUUACUUCUACCUGAUAGCUUUUGGAGGUGCUUAAUACAUGACUGUUUAGAUUCAGGAUUCACUGCUUCAUUGUCUAUUUAAUAAGGUGAAAAAUAUAGUCGUGUGAGAUUUUAGGCAAUCUUGUUAUACAUAAUAUUUUCUGAAAUUUAAGUCAAUUGGUGACUAGCUGCAUCAGCAACUAACAAGAAACAACCUGACAAUUUAAGUCAAUUCGUAACAAAGGUAACUCAGAGCUGUUUUUUCAUGUUGGUUGAUAGCUUUUAUGACUCCAGACUUCGUCAUGUUCUUUCUUUUACUAAGGCAAAUUGUCAUGUCUCUGUUUAGAAGACUCAGUAGUGCUACGUUGACAAUCUAAUCUUUAUGAAUCAUGAUCAUUUUGCAAAACAAAAAGGCUUGGAUAGCAAUAUAGCACAAUUGUUGCAUCUAUUUCUGCAGUGGCUAUUGUUUUUCUUGGCAUAGUAUUUUUAACAAAUUUGUUUAUCAUCAUUAUAUAUGACUGAUUUUGCAAAUUAUCAUAUAUCUGUGUCAUGCUGAACAGGCUUGAUGGGAGCACUCCAUCUUCUGAACGGCAGAAUCUUGUGGAGAUGUUUAAUGACCGUGAAAACACAUGAGAGAAAUGCACGUUGAUAUCAACUUGUGUUGGAUCCCUAGGUAUCAACCUUCAUGCUGCAAAUCACGUGGUUCUUUUGGAUGGAUCAUAGAAUCCAACACAUGAUCUGCAAGCCAUUUAUCAGGUUUGGAGGCAAGAACUUGUCAUUUGUUUAUUUCUUGUGUGGGGAUGUUCUUUCCAGGUAUGGCCAGACCAAACCUGUGUAUGCCUAUCGCCUAAUGGCACAUCGAACAAUGGAAGAGAAAAUAUAUAAGCGCCGGGUAAUUUUGCAUUUUUUUCUUCUUUUGGUUUUGAGUUCUCAGUUUUAGUUAACCAAGUCAUUCUCUUGUAUCUGGUAGAUAUUGCUCCAUCCUUGUUUGAAAUCAAUUCAUGUCGAGUAUUAAUAGGUGACAAAAGAAGGCAUUGCAGCUAUGAUCCCUAGAGUAUCACCUUGCUCAUCAGUCAUCAAAAGUUGGAAUUUCUCAACAAUUCUUGCUAAUCCUUUGAAUCUAUGUGUUACAUAUAAAUUUGCAUCAUGAUAAAAUAAAUAUUUUAUCAAGUUCUAAUUGCAUGGAUUUCUAAUUAUAGCAUACUGUUUUCAUAUUUCUCACACAUAUACGACACAAUGAGCUGAUGAAUGAAUUUGGAAGCUGCACUUGGGCCUUUGUCUGCACAUAGUGAGGAUUACUGCACUGUAUCGUGCCUGAAAAGAUAGAAGCCCGUAACUGUUGCCAAGUUACAAAAAAUGUUGGACGAAAGGCUCGAGUAGAGGGAAGCUUACAUGGCAAAAGAUAUUCGUAAACUAUAUUUUUUUUGUCCUGGCACAUAUUCCUCAAGUUGUUUUGAUCUCUGAAUCCUUGUAUCAAAUGCCCCUAUAAAGAUUUGUCCUAUCCAAAUGACAUGAACUACUAUACUGUGUUGUGCAGAAUUGGUUCUGGAUGCAAAAAAUGAUAUUUGGUUAUUAACUUCAAUCUUGUUCGGUUGUGAUGGCAUAUUUAAGUACUGUGGCAUUGGGUGAAACUUCAGUUGAGCAUUACAACUUCUAGAAAUAUGUUUUCAACUUUGAAAAUUACUAGAGUCGCAUCACGAAAAGAUUAGGGUUUAUGAGCAAACAACUCUCUCCGUGAAUGUUAGUUUCAUAAAUUUUGUGUUUUAGAUUAAAUGACACUUUAACAUUGGUAUUAAUUUUUUUAUAAUAUUGUUAUUUAUUGUGCGAUCUAUGUAUUUUUAGUAUAAAAUGUCAGCUAUCCCGUAGCAACGCACGGGCAUGCUACCUAGUCUAGAAAAAAAUUCUACAUGCGGUUGGCAUAACUGAACCGCCUGUAGAAAUACAUUUCCAUAUGCGGUUCUCAGUUACCUGCUUGUGGAAAAAUAUAUUUUCACAGGCCACCAAACACAGACGCCUGACCGGCUUGUACUACUGACCGACGAGCACGAGCAACACACCUAGGCUCUAUCGCGAGGCAUCCAACGUGGCUGGCUUGGCGUAUCUCUGCGGCAAGCGAACGCGCUCGCGUCCAGCAAGCAAAGUGCGCGGCAGCCGGUCAACAGAGCAAGCACGCACGCACAGCGACGGCGCCUCCGGCGAGCACGCGCAGCACAGACUUGGGUGUAUUGUGGCACGUCCUGCGUGGCCUGGGUGCAUCACAGUGGCGAGCGAGAACGCGGCGCAAGUGAGCCCUCACGACAGCCGGCGAGCAAGCGGCGCAAGCAAGCCAAACCUCACGACAUCCAACGAGUGUGCGGUGCGGGUGAGCCCUCGCGGCGGCAAGCGCGACAGUGGCCUUCGUGGUGGCAAGCGUGACAGCGGCGUGGUGCCUAGGUGAUGGCAACGGCGUCCUGCUUGCUUCCUGUACGGCAGCGACGAGCGCGGAAGAGUCAUCAGCGUGAGAAAUCUCAUCGCAGGAGCAGUUCUAUCGCGGGCCUUCCUCCCAACGGUAGUUUAGCGGUUUCAACGUGCAUCGUUUCACGCAUAGGGCCUUGUUUAGUUCCUUGCCCAAAUUUUUUCGGGGAUACUGUAGCACUUUCGUUUGUUUGUGAUAAUUAUUGUCCAAUCAUGGACUAAGUAGGCUCAAAAGAUUUGUCUCGUAAAUUUCGACCAAACUAUGCAAUUAGUUUUUAAUUUCAUUUAUAUUUAAUACUUCAUGCAUGCGUCUAAAGAUUCGAUGUGACGGGAAAUCUUAAAAAGUUUCUGAACUUUGGGUGGAAGUAAACAAGACCUAGACGUAGUUUCUCCCCCGAGAAACAGUUUCUUUAAGAUUUUUUCUCUUUCUUCAUUGAUUCGAAUGCCACAUCAACAUUUUGCUUAGUUGGCAAAGUAUUUAAUAGACAUAGAAACUAUCAUUAAUAUAUUAUUGGGACUGCCCUAAGGCUUUGUUUAGUUCCCAAAAAUUUUCAAGAUUUCCUGUCACAUCAAAUCUUUAUACACAUGCAUGGAACAUUAAAUAUAAAUGAAAAUAAAAACUAUUUGCACAGUUUGUCUAUAAUUUACGAGACGAAUCUUUUGAGCCUAGUUACUAUGUAAUUGGAUAAUAAUUGUCACAUACAAACGAAAGAGUUAUAUUUAGUUCCAUCCAAAGUACAUAAGUUUUUGCGCUCAUUAUGGCCUCUAUAGAGGUUCUUUUGGGUUUUUUUCGCCUUUUGAGACUAAAAUCCAAAUAAAAACUAUUUUGCCAAAAAUUUUGCAUGGUGUUUAGCUAUAUUAUACAAAAUAAUAGACUAAAAUCUAGAAUUUUUGGAAUGAAAGAAGAACUAAAUACCCCCACUUUUAUCAAAAAAUUGUGGUUUUAGGCUAUAAUUUUGCAAAAUGGAACUAACACCAUGUGAAAACUUUAACCAAAAAGUAACUAUUCUCUAUUUUAGAUUUUGGCCUCAAGAGACCAAAAGGAACCCAAAAGCUCUUGGGAGCUCAUGCCCACCUCCACCAGCACUAGCAAAUUUUUAGUAUUUUGGAUGGAACUAAACACACCAAUGAAAAAAUUGGUAUUUUACAUUUCAUCAUUUCAAAGUACUUGGCAUUUUGUAUUUUGUAUUCCACACACCUGAAGUGAAUCUUGCUCUUAUUUUUUGAAAUGAAAUUUUAAUCUUGUUCUUGUUUUUUAAACAUUUAUUUUGUGAUUAUGAUUUUACUUCUCUGUUUUGUAAACUUUUAUUAUUGUGAUUUUACCUCUCUAUUUUUUGAAAUGAGGAAAGAGUGUCAUCAGCAAGUUACAAGUGUUAACUUGUGAUAAGUAUGCUUAUGUGAUUUUACUCCUAUUUUAUUAGAGGCUUAGCGAUUUUAACACUAAUUGAAUUUUUUUUAAUAUAUUAGUAAGGAUGUUGUCAAAAAAAAUAAGAUACAAAUUAUGCAUUCAUUUUAUUAAUAUAAAUCUGGGCAACAUUUGUCUAAUCUUAGCAAAAAAAUGAACAUCAUUUAUGCAAAAACAAAGAGAAACAUAAUUUUUCAUUAUACCACUUGCAUGUACUCUCUUCAUCCCACAUUAUAAGUCAUUCCAACUUUCUUGAUAGUCAAAGCAUCUCAAGUUUGAUCAAAUUUAUAUAAUAAAAUAGUAACAUUUUUGAUAGCAAAUGAGCAUUAUUGAGUUUCUAGGGUUACAACUAGAAAUUGUGGAGAAAGGAGAUCAGGCUCAAACCCUAGAAAUUCGAUUCAAACACAAGUGAAUGCAACAGAAGCCCAACACACAAGAGAUAAGAGAUUUAUCAUGUAGUUUAACUCGCCGCUAAGGCUUGCCUAUGUCCACGUUGUUGAGGGAGCCACAAAGACUUAGUUUCUUCUACCUCAUACCUUCCCAAAAGACCACCAUCAAAGUUGUGAGCUUGAGGGUCCGCUAAGUCAAUUGGGGCAAUACAAACUUCUUAGAGCACCUCACAAAGUUUAGAGUGCUACACAGGCAGGUAGUCUCUAUCCAGCUAUGAGCCUUGCUCCAAAAGUGACAAAUACCACCAUCGGGCUAGGGUUUCACUAAAUGCUCAAAUGAAGUGGAGCAUGAUCUUCUCUUACCUCUUAGGUCUCUCUUUGGGCCAAUCACCUCAAGAAUCACCAAGUUUUGAAGUUAGGUGGUUGGGAGCAUCAAUGGAGAAGAGAGAAAUGAGUGUUGAUUGGUUUUUUUCCUUGAAUACGCAAGAGAGAUGUUGUUGGGCAUUCUUAACGUCACUACCCAAAAAUAGACUUAGUUUUCUAAUUCUGAUAACGACGCCAAAAAUGCCAAACCUAUCCCUCAUGCCACUUAAGCCAAGUUGUCAUCCCCAGCAUGACAUGAAAGACGCGGUAUUGAAAUAUGCAAUUGCUCUUCUAAAUAAAUAAUAAAUGAGAUCUACAAGCGCACAGAUUAAUACCGAUGUAGCAUUUUAACCGGAAAGUAUUCUAGGUAUCGUUAUUUAUAUUUUUACCACUAGGAAGGGAUUGCUAAACAUCAAUGUUGAUUAUAGAAUGGAAUAUAAGAUUGAGUAUCUAUCAUUGCAUGUAUAAUUGAGAGCAUUUAUCUAUCUCUUUCAUACAGGAAUAAGUGUCACAUAAAAGAUAGAUAAAGUAUGAAUGGUGACAAAGAUAAUUAAUCUGAUCAGCAUAACUUAGCCACAUAUAAAUAUGAUAAGCACCUCAACAGAUAUUCUAGCAAGUCAUUAGCAUGGAAUUAGGACGAACUACAAGAAUAUUUCCUAAGUUAUUCUUAACUAUAAAGUCUAGCAUAUCAUAGUUAGUGCAAUUAUACUUGACAAUCAUUGCGAGACAGGACUACGCCCAUGCAUAGUGAUAUUAUCAAGGAAUAUGAGAAACAUAGCAAUCACUCCCCUGUAAUAAUGUUGCUCUGCCAGCCCUAUACACGAGAGGGGGACUAUAUAAGAAUCAAUAGAGCUGUCACUACCACGAACUACCCCGCGAUAUGGCAUAUAGGGUACAAUCAUAGAUAAAUACGGUAUAGGCACCACGCUUACACAAUACUUAUCAUUUACCCACUAUACACAUGGAUAAAUGCUAUACGAUCCUAAACACGUAUAUAAUUCAAAUCUAACUAAGCCAAGCAUAUAACUAUGAUAAAAUAAGAACAAUAUAAUUGCAAAUAUAAAUAAGUAGAGCAAAGUCAUAAUCAAUAUAUUGAAGUAGAGCAAAGUCAUAUUCAUAAUAUUGAAGAACAAAGAUGAACAAUUGAAGAACAGGAGAGAAUUACCAAGAAUCCUCUUGACAGAUCAGGAAACCAAUCGAAGAUUGACUCCUUCUAGUUCUAAUCCUAUGUAGCUAUGCUAAACUAGAGAUCUAAUUGAUGUGGUGGCUCUAGGGCUUGAUCAGAGGCUUCUUCUCCCAAGAUGAAUAAUAAAUUAGGGUUCAGAGGUCCUCUCCUUUAGGGGCCAGGGGGUCUGCUUAUAUAGUCCUUCCAAGUGAAUAUGGGCCGUCGGAUCAAACCGACAUUAAUCGCACGGUUUUCCUUGAUCCUUUAGGUUGGUGGAGCAUGAUCCACGAAGUUGAAGCUGAUUGGCCCUGAGGCCAGGGCGGGCGCCCAAGGGGGGAGGGCGGGCGCCCUGCCCCCGAGCCCGUCCGGUCUCCCGUUCGUUCCCGUGGCUUCUGGACUCUUCUAGAUGUAGGAUAAUUGCGCGGCACGUUAAUAUCUGUAUGUAAACCCGACAUGUGGGCCUUUCUUCCAUAAUUCCUGAUAACCCCCUGCAGAAAUAGACAAACACCAAAACUCAUGGAAUUCUAUCAGAUAAAACCCUAAGUAUAGAUGUCGGUUGCAUUUGGAUCCUUUUUUUUGUUUAUUUGUUAAUUAAUUUGAUACUUAAGGACCGUCAACAAACUCCCCCAAGCUUACCUCUUGCUCGUCCCUGAGCAAGGAUAAUCUCAGUGAUGGAUCAGAAGUUGCUGUAAUGCCUUUAAAAAUUGACGGUACACAUGCUUUCAAAUGAGGUUUCAUCUCUGAGUUAGAGUAAACUGUCAAGACUUAAAACUUACUUAUUUUACCUUUCACCAUGGGACUUGUAACCGUCACUUCUGUCUUGAGUAGUUAAAAGAUAGAACGGUCUAAUCAAGUGCCAUGUCUCUUAUUCUUGAUCAGCUAUAGCUCUGGAGUUUUUGCAGAUUUUCAAAUUAAACUCAGAGAUUCCUUGUAUGACUCUCUCAGAUCUCUCUUUUGUGGUAUUUCUGGAUCCUUACCAAGGCAGUGAUGGUACAUGCCUUCUCUCUCAAAGUAUGUAUUUGUGGUAUAAGGCAUGGUGACAUUGCCUUCUCUCUCACCCUACUCUAAUAAGGCUUUGAUAUCUGGAGCUCAUAGGUGGGAGAUAAAGUAUACAUACUUACAAGACAUUUAUUGCAUAGUCAAACCAUGGAUCUAGAGAAAUUAAUCAUAAGUCAAAUCAAGAUGUACAUGUGUGGCGAAUGAAUGGUGUAUGGUGACGAUGGUGAUAAUAGUGAAAACAAUGGUGAAAGUCUAAUUCUACUUUUGCUCUUUUGAGGGGAUACAUACCUUCCUUGCUCUUUUGAAACUUUUGGGGAGAAUGAGAUGCUCUAUAUUUUCUUUUUCUUUCCUCUCAGGUGGGUAUCUUGUACCCCUAAUUCUAGUGUCGGACACUUGUCGAUUUUUACCUCUCAUCUCACUUUUUCUUUCGAGGUUCUGGGCACUUGCCCCUUUUUAUUUCCUCGUAUACUUUUUCUUCUUUUUUUAGAGCACUCAUCUCUUGAAAUAAUAUAGCAAGUGGUAGUAACCAAGAUAACUUGAGAAUUUAUUUUACAGGGAAAAACAAAAAUAUUUUUGGCUAUUCUCUCCCGGAUUAGGAGUAGAAUACUUUUGGGUGGUUCUGGAGAUGGAAAUGGGUGGAUAUAUGUGGAUGGGUACUUCCGGAGUAGAAGCAGCAUGUGCGAGUGAACAUGCAAGUGAAUCUUGAUUUUAACCACAUGACAAGCUCCUAAGGGUCUACACAGCUUGACCACACUCAAUACUCAUAAGUAGUAAAAAGUAAAUGUGUGGCACAAAGUCUAGCAAGCAUGUAUAUAUAUGGUUGUGGUAGGAAUUUAAACUCUCAUCAUACACGAACUCAUCAAGUGAUAUUUUAAAGAUUUUCAAAGAUAAAAUUCUCCAUAAUUCUAGCAUCUUUAGGAACAGAUAAACAGCAGCUCAACCUUCCCAUAUCAUAUCCGUUAACAACUUAGACUUCAGAUCAAGUUCUCUUCCCACAAGUUCAGGUUUAGAGCAAGCUUUAAAUUAUAACAGUUAUGUCUAAACUAGAGAGAGAACUUCAAAUUUGAAAAAUUAGGCAGAGCAACUAUUCAUCAUAUCCAUGCUAGAGUUUUAUUAUUAAGAUUCAGUUUAGCAUAGCCACUUUAUUUAUUUAUUAAGCAUACUAAGCAAAAGAUAUAUAUAUAUAUAAGAACAAAAUCUUUAUUGGGUUUUUUAUAGUUAUGUAUAUUUUUAUUUUAAUAUAGUAUAAGUAUAUAGAUAGAAAGAAAUACUUAGCGGGAUAAAUGGGGGUGCUUUCCCCCAAGCUAAAUUUUGACGUAAUUUCUUCUGAUGUAGCUAGCAGGUGGCAGAGGUCUAUUUGAAAGUCGGCAGCACCCUGACAGCGAUUAGAAUGUCCUCCGUCUGCUAGUCUUCUUGAUUCUUGAAUUAUGUGGAGCUCAAAUAGACAACAAAGCUUUGUGGAACUGAUUAAGUGUUAGCAUAAAUAUCUAGCCUUUAUCAUGUUGAGCCUCCUCAAUAAGUGUUACUCUCUAUUUUUAUAUUUUCAUUUUAUAGAGCAGAAAAAAUUAUUUAUUUUAUUUUUAUGCCACCACGGUGAAUAUACUUAUGGGUUUUAUGCCACUCGUAUACUCACAUAGGGCUUACUGUUUUUUAACAUUUUUAUUUUCUUUUUAGAAUGAUAUGAACAUGAUUAACUAAACAAACUAUUUUAACUAAUUGAAAGGAAAAAGGAUAUCUACCAAGUUUACCUCUUGGCAAAGCGUUCGGUGUUUUUAAGUCCUCCGAACGGGACUCUCCGUUUUCUUAGUCGUCCUAGGAUUUGUUGGAUGGCGUAGUUGGUACUUCCAGCGGCGCCUCUUCUUCGUGUAUAUCUAUCUUCUCUCUCCACACCUGACUCGGUGCUACGGUCUCAGUUCUGUUCAAGUUGUAUGUCUUCAGACCGUACUACUUCUCCUUCAUAGUCUGCCCAUCCGUCCUUGAUGAUUUGCCUCCUCUGGUUGCGGUUGCGUCGUCUUGUUCUCGUCCUGACCUCCUUAGAGUCUUCAACGAUAUAAUUAGGGUCAGUAAAAUAGCGGCGUACCUUCUCUGAGGGGAAGUGCAUGUGAACUUCUCCGGUUCCAAUGUAGAUGAUUGCUUUAACGGUGCUGAGGAACGGUCUUUCAAGGAUGAUGGGUGGAUCGUACUCAUCUUCUCCCAUGUCAAUAACCUGAAAGUCUGUAUGGACAAAAUGAUCGUCUAUUUUGACAGGGACAUCAGUUACUAUACCUUCAACCUUUUAGAAUGUCUGAUCUGCCAUCUGGAGCUGAAUGUAUGUUGGUUUUAUGGGCAUGGUUCCGAAUAAGAGCCGAUAGGUGACUGCGGCCAUUAUGUUGACGCCCGAUCCGGUGUCGCAAAGUGUCUUGUAGAAGUUGUAUCCAUUAAUGGAGCAAUAGAUGCUUGGCAUACCUGGGUCGUCCUUCUUGGUCAGAAACGGUGACUUAAAUCGAUGAUCUUGACCUCCUUGAACUGCAGUGACCAUCUUAGCUGACUCGGUCCACACUUGCUUGUUCCUGUUCCUCCUAUUGGUCCUCUUCCUUGGUUCAUGUCGGGAUUGCUCUGGGAUUUGUGUAAUCUUGUUCUUGAAGGAAAACGUCUCCUUUCUCCCUUUGAUAUAGAAACUGAUCUUGGCAGCACUAGCGUAGAUGACAGCUCCCGAGGUGUUCAGGAAUGGCCUCCCUAAGAUGACGGGUGCCCUCUCAUCAUUACCGGUCUCUAUUACCACAAAGUCUGCUAGAGUGUACAAGGUACCAACUCGGACACAGAGGUUCUUCAAUAUUCCCUUUGGGAAACUUAACAUCCAAUCUGCAAACUGCAAACACAUGGUUGUUUCUAAUAAAGGAUAUGUAAAGAAUUUUUCAUAGAGUACCCUGGGCAUAAUGUUGACACUAGAGCCAAAGUCGCAGAGUGCUUCUGGGAAGUCCACUAUGCUGAUGGAGAUCGGGAUGACAGGGCGUUCUGGAUCACCUCUCUUGACCGGCAGAAGGUCAGUAGUAACUUCAGUGACGGGGUUACUCCAGUAGUUACCUGCAUCAAACAUGUCUACAAGAUUUGCAGAUUCUAAUCCUUCCGGUUGUGAUGGUAUACCGGGGUUAGUAGCAGGAACAGCAUCAGCUAUUUGAUUUAACUGAGAUUCAAUCAUUUUAUUAAAGCUAAUUUGAUUCUUGAUGGCAGUAGAGAAAUUAUCCAUUCUAUUAUUUAUAUUUUCUAGCAUUUUAUCAUUAGAUGCCAAUUUCUUAGAUAGGUUAUCCAUUAGCUUUCCUUGAUUAGACACUAACUCUCUCAGAGGUGGAAAAUUAUUAUUAUUAUUGUAAGAAUUGUUACCUUGAUAAUUACCUGAGUAGUUAGGCCUUUGUUGAUUCCAACCUUGAUUUUGUUGAGGACGGUUGUUGUAGUAGUAGUAGUAGUUGUUGUUGAUGUAGUUCACAUCCUCAAGCACCUCAGGACCGUGAUUGCCUGAGUGUCCGUUAUCUCCACACUCCUCACAAGUCAUGUGAGAGUCGUAAACGUGCAUAACUUCUUUCUUAUCUCCAGCU
Molecule: long non-coding RNA, 26984 nt
Filed under: Sorghum bicolor (sorghum)
Lineage: Eukaryota; Viridiplantae; Streptophyta; Magnoliopsida; Poales; Poaceae
Description: long non-coding RNA (SBIC_LNC007054)
Source: RNAcentral